RNAcentral lists this microRNA precursor (126 nucleotides) under Myotis lucifugus (little brown bat). Its description in RNAcentral is "mir-9193 microRNA precursor family". It matches the Rfam family "mir-9193 microRNA precursor family". The record is from Rfam by way of RNAcentral. Lineage: Eukaryota; Metazoa; Chordata; Mammalia; Chiroptera; Vespertilionidae.
UGUGCACCGGUGGGGUCCCUCAGCCUAGCCUGUGCCCUCUCCCAAUCCAGGACCCCUCGGGGAUUGUUGGCAAGCCGGUUUCUGCCGGAUCCCGCAGGCCAGGCUGAGGGACCCCACUGGUGCACA